AUGUCUUCUAAUCUGUUCAUUGCCUUUGUAGUGCUCCCCAUUCUUGGCUUCCUUGGCGUUUGCAUUGAAGCUCAAGCACCAACUUACCGGUAUCAUGUCUGUUCAAAGACAACCAUUUUCACUCCCAACAGCUCCUACCAGUCUAAUCUCAAUCUCCUCCUUUCUUCUCUCACAUCCAACGCCACACGAGAUAUUGGAUUCUACUACACUAGAGCUGGCGUGCUAGACUCCACCACAGAAGUAGUUUACGGUUCUUUCCUAUGCCGUGGAGAUCUCACCCCUGAGAUGUGCCAAGGAUGUGUUGCUACUAUAGCCAUAGAUGGUGUCCCAAGGUUCUGUCCCUUUGGAAAAAUUGUGAUAAUAUGGUACGACGAGUGCAUGUUGCACUACACAAACCAGUCCUUCUUGAACAGAAUGGACGAAGAGCCUCGAUUUUUCAAGGGGAACAGUCGGAAUAUCUCUGACCCUACCCGCUUUACUCAGAAACAAUCAAUGGUUUGGUGGCUCUGGCUUCAAAUGCACCCUCGGGUGCUAAAAAGUAUGCGAAGAAAGAAGAAAAUUUCAGAGUUUCAGAAGUUGUACAGCCUUGUGCAGUGCACACCAGACCUAUCAAGCACAAGUUGUGAUACAUGUCUUCGAAGAGCUAUUGCGCAACUUUCAGGUUGUUGUACCGGAAAGCAAGGUGUUAGAGUUUUAUAUCCUAGUUGUAAUGUUCGAUAUGAAAUUUAUCCAUUUUAUAGACUUCAAGCUGCCACACCUCCACCAGCGCCAUCACCACCAUCACUGCUUCUACCUCCCCCUCCUCCUGGUACAGUAACGAGACCUGAUCAAGGAAAUGACCAAAUCUCAUCCUUAACCAUAGUGGCCAUUGUUGUUCCAAUUGCCAUAGUUCUUUUCUUAGUGGGCUGUUUUUUCUUAAAAAGAAAGACAAGGAAGAAGUAUGAUGCUGUACAAGAGCAAAAUGGUAACAUGCAUGAAAUUACUACUUUAGAGUCUUUGCAGUUUGACUUGGCUACCAUAGAAGCAGCCACAAACCGGUUCUCUGUUAAUAACAAGUUAGGCGGAGGUGGCUUUGGAGAGGUCUACAAGGGCACACUACGUAAUGGGCAAGAGAUAGCUGUGAAGAGGCUAUCUAAAAGCUCCGGGCAAGGUCACAUGGAGUUUAAGAAUGAGGUUGUUUUGGUGGCCAAGCUUGAGCACAGAAACCUAGUGAGGCUGCUGGGGUUUUGCUCUGAAGGAGAAGAAAAGAUGCUUGUUUAUGAACUUGUGAAGAACAAAAGCCUUGACCACUUCUUAUUCGACUCGGACAAUCGAGGCAAGCUAGAUUGGUCAAGCAGAUACAAGAUUAUCAGUGGGAUUGCUAGAGGGAUUCUCUAUCUCCAUCAAGAUUCUAGACUUAAAAUCAUACAUCGCGAUCUCAAAGCAAGCAACAUAUUGCUAGAUGGGGAAAUGAACCCCAAAAUAGCAGAUUUUGGCAUGGCAAGAAUAUUUGGAGGUGAUCAAACUCAAGAAAAUACCAGAAGGAUUGUUGGAACUUAUGGUUACAUGCCUCCAGAGUACAGAGUACGUAAUGCACGGACAGUUCUCGGUGAAAUCUGAUGUGUACAGUCUUGGUGUCUUGAUCUUAGAGAUUGUAACCAGCGAGAAGAACACUAGCUUUCAAUCCGAACGUGGCGAAUACCUCUUGACCUAUGCUUGGAACCAUUGGAGGGAUGGGACGCCAGAAGAGUUGCUGGAUCGAAAUCUAAGACGUUCUUAUUCAAGAAAUGAAGUAAUCAGAUGUAUCCAUAUUGCUUUACUGUGUGUCCAAGAAGAUCCAGAGAAGAGACCUACAAUGCAAACCGUAGUUCUCAUGCUAAGCAGUUACUCGGUAACUAUGCCAUUGCCUCAAAAGCCAGCAUUUUUCCUACAUAGUACAGAAGAAAUGAGGAUGCCAUCAUUAACAUCUCAACCAUUAAACCAACACUCUAGCAAUUCAGCUUGUUCAGUUAAUGAAGCAUCAAAUUCUGAAUUAAUGUCUUCUAAUCUGUUCAUUGCCUUUGUAGUGCUCCCCAUUCUUGGCUUCCUUGGCGUUUGCAUUGAAGCUCAAGCACCAACUUACCGGUCUCAUUUCUGUUUAAACACAACCAGUUUCACUCCCAACAGCUCCUACCAGUCUAAUCUCAAUCUCCUCCUUUCUUCUCUCACAUCCAACGCCACACGAGAUAUUGGAUUCUACUACACUAGAGCUGGCGUGCUAAACUCCACCACAGAAGUAGUUUACGGUUCUUUCCUAUGCCGUGGAGAUCUCACCCCUGAGUUGUGCCAAGAAUGUGUUGCUACUAUAGCCAAAGAUGGUGUCCAAACGUUCUGUCCCUUGGGAAAGAUUGCGAUAAUAUGGUACGACGAGUGCAUGCUGCGCUACACAAACCAGUCCUUCUUGAACAGAAUGGACGAAGCUCCUCGAGUUUCCAUGUGGAACAUUGGGAAUAUCUCUGACCCUACCCGCUUUAUGCAGCUGCUUGGAGAAACAGUCAAUGGUUUGGUGGAUCUGGCCUCAAAUGCACCGUCCGGUGCUAAAAAGUAUGCGACGAAAGAAGCAGAUUUCACAGGGUUUCAGAAGUUGUACAGCCUUGUGCAGUGCACACCGGACCUAUCAAGCACAAGUUGUGAAACAUGUCUUCGAGGAGCUGUGGCGCAACUUCCAGGUUGUUGUAAUGGAAAGCAAGGUGGUAACGUUUUAUAUCCUAGUUGUAAUGUCCGAUAUGAAGUUUAUCCAUUUUAUACAACUGAAGCAGCCACACCUUCACCACCGCCACGGCCUCUGAUUCUUCCUCCCCCACCUCCAGGUUCAUUACAUAAACCUUGAUAUUGAAUCUAUGCAGGAAAUGACCAAAUCUCAUCCUUAAUCAUAGUGGCCAUUGUUGUUCCAAUUGCCAUAGUGCUUUUCUUGGUAGGCUGCUUUUUGCUAAGAAGAAAGACAAGAAAAGAGUAUGAUGCUUUGCAAGGACAAAAUGGGGGCAGUGAAAUUAGUGAAAUUACUACUGUGGAGUCAUUGCAGUUUGAUUUUGCUACAAUUGAAGCAGCCACAAACCAGUUCUCUGUUAGUAACAGAUUAGGGGAAGGUGGCUUUGGAGAGGUUUACAAGGGAACACUUCCUAAUGGACAAGAAGUAGCAGUGAAGAGGUUAUCUAGAAGCUCCGGGCAAGGUGUCAAGGAGUUUAAGAAUGAGGUAGUUUUGGUGGCCAAACUUCAGCACAGAAAUUUAGUGAGGCUACUGGGAUUUUGCUCUGAAGGAGAAGAAAAGAUACUUAUCUAUGAAUUUGUGCAGAACAAAAGCCUUGACCACUUUUUAUUCGACUCAGACAUUCAAGUGAAGUUGGAUUGGUCAACCAGAUACAAGAUUAUAGGCGGGAUUGCUAGAGGGAUUCUCUAUCUCCAUCAAGAUUCUCGGCUUAAAAUCAUACAUCGCGAUCUCAAAGCAAGCAACAUAUUGUUAGAUGGAGAAAUGAACCCAAAAGUAUCAGAUUUUGGGAUGGCAAGAAUAUUUGGAGUUGAUCAAACUCAAGGAUGCACUAGAAUGAUUGUCGGAACUUAUGGUUAUAUGUCUCCAGAGUAUGCAAUGCAUGGACAGUUCUCAGUGAAGUCUGAUGUGUAUAGUCUUGGUGUCUUAAUCUUAGAGAUUGUAACAGGCAAGAAAAACACUAGUUUCUAUCAAUCAGACCGUGGUGAAGAUCUCUUGACCUAUGCUUGGAAACAUUGGAGGGAUGGGACGCCUGAAGAAUUGUUGGAUUCAAGUCUGAGAGGUUCUUAUGCAAGAAAUGAAGUAACCAGAUGUAUCCAUAUUGGUUUACUGUGUGUUCAGGAAGAUCCAGAGGAGAGACCUACAAUGCAAACCAUAGUUCUCAUGCUAAGCAGUUACUCUAUCAGUAUGCCAUUGCCUGAAAAGCCAGCGUUUUUCCUGCAUAGUAAAGGAGAUUUGAACAUGCCAUCAGUAGCCACGGGAGCAUCAGAUAAACCCACUAGCAGCUCAGUCUCAUAUUCUGUUAAUGAAGUUUCAAUUACUGAAUUAUUCCCUCGAUAA
This is an RNA transcript of Fragaria vesca subsp. vesca, 4063 nucleotides long. RefSeq lists it as uncharacterized. The transcript has 13 exons. The record is from RefSeq and is a predicted model, not a curated record. NCBI's taxonomy places the organism in Eukaryota, Viridiplantae, Streptophyta, Magnoliopsida, Rosales, Rosaceae.